AUGUCUCGCCGGCGGCGGCAGGGCUCCGACUCCGACGGCGAGGACGACAGCUUCCUCUACCGCUACCCGAUGCCCUCCUCCUCCGCCGGCGCCCCCUCCAGCGCGCCCGCGUCGGGCGGCCGCGGCGGGGGCGGCAGGGGCGGCGGCAGCGGCUCGGGCGGGCUCGCGCCGUCCAAGUCCACGGUGUACGUCUCCAACCUGGACUUCGCGCUCACCAACUCCGACCUGCACACCCUCUUCUCCCGCUUCGGCAAGGUGGCCCGCGUCACGGUCCUCAAGGACCGCGAGUCCCGCCGCAGCAAGGGGGUCGCCUUCGUGCUCUUCGUCCGCCGGGAGGACGCCGUGGCGGCGGCCGCCGAGAUGCACGGAAAGGUGCUCAACGGCCGCACCCUAGCCGCCUCCAUCGCCGAGGACAACGGCCGCACCGCGCAGUUCAUCCGCCGCCGCGAGUACCGCGACAAGUCCCACUGCUACGAGUGCGGCGGGGAGGGCCACCUCUCCUACGAGUGCCCCCGCAACCAGCUCGGCCCCCGCGAGCGGCCGCCGCCCUCUAAGAAGUCGCGCCGCGGGGGCGGGGCUGCUGGUGGCCGUGGCGGCGGCCGCGGAAGCGGGGGCGGGGAAGGGGACGGGCCCUCCUGGCAGUCAGACGAGGACGACGACGCCGUCGCCGCGGCGUUCGAGGACGACAGGUGGGCGUCGGUGGUGGACACGCGGGGGGAGGAGGAGAAGGCGGCCGAGAAGGAGGGUAGGGCCAAGGCCAAGGCGGCGAGGAAGGAGAAGAGGAAAGGCUACUUCAGCGACGAGAGCGACGAGGACGAUGACUGA
Molecule: ribosomal RNA, 825 nt
Filed under: Triticum aestivum (bread wheat)
Lineage: Eukaryota; Viridiplantae; Streptophyta; Magnoliopsida; Poales; Poaceae
Description: partial small subunit ribosomal RNA
Source: RNAcentral